UUUGUUAGCUAAAUGUUAGAAAAGUUAUUCAAAAGCUUUGUCUGAAUGGAAUCCGAAGGCUUCACAAGUAAAAGCAUAUAACCUUCAAUCCAUUUUGGCAAGAUUUAUUUAUAAAACAAUGAUGUCAUGCUAAUAAAGUUAGGUAGAAAGAAGAAGAAAUAUAGCAAGAAUAUGGAUGUUUCUUUUUCAAGUCAAAUUUUAACUUUGCUUAGUUUUCCUCUUUAUCUUUGUGCUUUCUUAUCUGUGGACCUCUGCUUCCUUCAAGAACAUGUAAAAGGAAAAAGAAAAAUUAAUAAAUUUGAAAUGGGCAUAUUACUUUCUAUUUAUUCAUGACCAUUCAAGGAAGACAUCACCCUUUUUAUCUAUAUUUAGUGAUAAAAGAAAGUUAUGGAUUACCUGGCUAGUUGUAUUCAUGAUGAUGUCCAAUGGUGCAUGUUAUUUAUCGAUGAUUUUGUCUUGGUGGAUGAAAUUUGUGAAGGAAUUAAUCAAAAGUUGGAGUUAUAAAGAAGGGAGCAAAGGUUUUAAGCUUAGUAAAAGUAAGAUGGAAUAUAUGUAGUGUGAGUUUAGCUCCUAUAGGAGGAAUGAAGGUGAGGUUCAUUUGGAUAGGGUUUUGGUGCUCAAAUACAAUCAGUUCAAAUAUUUAGGUUCUAUCAUACAUAAGAAUAGAGUUUUAGAUGAUGAUGUAACUCAUAGGAUCCAAACAUGAUGGAUGAAUGGUGGAGUGUGAUAGGCAUAUUAUGCGAGCCUAAGAUUCCUAACAAAGGGAAAGGUAAGUUCUAUAGGAUUAUGGUCAGACUAGCUAUAUUGUAUGGGAGUAAACGUUGGGCAUUUAAGAGACAACAUGCUCACAAGAUAGUGUGACGGAAAUGCCAAUGUUAAGAUGGACGUAUGGUGACACAAUAAUAGAUAAGAUUCAAAUGAGAAUGGCGAAAAUGCAAAUGUUGAUGGAUGUAUGAUAACACAAUAAUGGAUGAAAUUCACAAGGAUCACAUCCAUCAAAGAAGGCAUAUAGCAUAUAUUGGAGAUAAAGUGAGAGAGGAUCGAUUAAGAUGGUUUGGUCAUGUCUAACGUAGAAAAUCAAAUGUCUCGGUAUAGAAG
Molecule: unclassified non-coding RNA, 1098 nt
Filed under: Hevea brasiliensis (rubber tree)
Lineage: Eukaryota; Viridiplantae; Streptophyta; Magnoliopsida; Malpighiales; Euphorbiaceae
Source: RNAcentral